GAGGAGCUAAUCUCUUUUGGAAUGCUCUGUAAUGAUUGUUGACAAGUCUUUCCGACUUUGUGCAUAAUCAUUACAAGAAGAUCAAUGCAUAUAAGUUUAGAAUCUAACAGAUUUCAGUAAAUGGCAUGAAUUUGGAAUUCUUGCAUUUGCAGUAAGGAUUUGGGACUGUGAAAGAGGAUCAUUGGAGUUAUGUUCAAUUGAUCUAAUUCACAAAGUGAAGAUCAUAGACAAACAUAGUAUGCAUACUUGGUGUAUGGCAUGACUAGUGUUUAGAAAACAUAGUGUACAUGCUUGGAGCAUGGGACAACUAUUGUUUUAAAUUCAAGAAUAAAGUUGAUAGCUGAAACAGUAUACAAUGAAUAAUGUGUAAUCAUAUGGUGAUAAAUAAAAGGUGUUUUAUUUAUGUUCAUAGGUUUUGAUACCAUAUUGGAUUCAAUUAUUCUUGUGUUUCAUUUUGCAUGUUUUGACUUCCAGAAUAAACUAGGUUAUUCUUCCGGAAUGACUAAGUUAUUCAAACCAUCCACAGUCGGUCAUAUGUUGGAAGUAGAUAUGAAUUAAGACUGUCAUGGGUUGGCUUGUAGAGGUCUAAGGUGUUGGACAAAGGGCUACAACACUCAUGAGUGCUCAUAAGUUCUGAGUAUUGGAUUCAACCCGCGCUCAUUGGAAUCACUUCAUGGAUUUUAUCACGAGUGAUCAUGAGACGAUAAUAUCUUAUAUUCUUCAAACCUAGAGAUAUGAGUUGUUACUAUGAGUUGAUAGUACAUUGAUUGCACGAAAACGCAUUUGGUAACUCGGUGCUAUAAAACGUGCCUUUGUGUAUGAUUCAACAAGUAGUAGAACAAGCCAUAUGAGUCGAAGUUUAUCCAUUCCUUUUACCUUCGGGAUAAAAGCGAUAUCUGUGGGCCCCUCGAUGAUUUGAUGAUGACAAAUGGAAGUGCUCGGCCGGGCCAGGACUGAUUUGAUUUGUUCAAUUAGUCAGUCGUCAUAAAUCGGAAAUCGGGAAACAACAAAUGGACAGAGAGAAUG
RNAcentral lists this long non-coding RNA (1026 nucleotides) under Lactuca sativa (garden lettuce). Its description in RNAcentral is "long non-coding RNA (LSAT_LNC004294)". The record is from RNAcentral. Lineage: Eukaryota; Viridiplantae; Streptophyta; Magnoliopsida; Asterales; Asteraceae.